RNAcentral lists this ribosomal RNA (254 nucleotides) under uncultured bacterium. RNAcentral's name for it is "partial 16S ribosomal RNA". It matches the Rfam family "Bacterial small subunit ribosomal RNA", at positions 524 to 776 of the family's 1533-position model. The record is from RNAcentral.
CACGUAGGGUGCGAGCGUUGUCCGGAAUUAUUGGGCGUAAAGAGCUCGUAGGCGGUGUGUCGCGUCGGCCGUGAAAACCUGCAGCUUAACUGUGGGCUUGCGGUCGAUACGGGCAUCACUGGAGUUCGGCAGGGGAGACUGGAAUUCCUGGGGUAGCGGUGAAAUGCGCAGAUAUCAGGAGGAACACCGGUGGCGAAGGCGGGUCUCUGGGCCGAUACUGACGCUGAGGAGCGAAAGCGUGGGGAGCGAACAGG